ACGGCCCAUAUUCACUUGAAGAGACUAUAAAACCAGACCCCCUGGCCCCUGGAGAUCAUACCUCUUCUACAGAAUCAAAGUUAGGGUUUCAAUUCUUCAUCCAAGUAGAGAGGAUCCCUCUAGUUCUUCUAGUUCUACCUCCAGUUCAUCUAGAUCUAGUUCUAGUUCAUCUAGUUCUAGUUCUAGUUCCUCUAGUUCUAGUUCUAGUUAGUUCUAGUUGUAAUCUAGAAAAUAGGGAG
Molecule: long non-coding RNA, 239 nt
Filed under: Sorghum bicolor (sorghum)
Lineage: Eukaryota; Viridiplantae; Streptophyta; Magnoliopsida; Poales; Poaceae
Description: long non-coding RNA (SBIC_LNC000584)
Source: RNAcentral